RNAcentral lists this ribosomal RNA (431 nucleotides) under Exiguobacterium sp. PDN2. RNAcentral describes it as "bacterial SSU rRNA". It matches the Rfam family "Bacterial small subunit ribosomal RNA", at positions 200 to 620 of the family's 1533-position model. The record is from RNAcentral. Lineage: Bacteria; Bacillati; Bacillota; Bacilli; Caryophanales.
AUGAAAGGCGCUUCGGCGUCACCUUGAAAUGGCCUUGCGGUGCAUUAGCUAGUUGGGGGGGUAACGGCCCACCAAGGCGACGAUGCAUAGCCGACCUGAGAGGGUGAUCGGCCACACUGGGACUGAAACACGGCCCAAACUCCUACGGGAGGCAGCAGUAGGGAAUCUUCCACAAUGGACGAAAGUCUGAUGGAGCAACGCCGCGUGAGUGAUGAAGGUUUUCGGAUCGAAAAACUCUGUUGUAAGGGAAGAACACGUACAAGAGGAAAUGCUCGUACCUUGACGGUACCUUACAAGAAAGCCACGGCUAACUACGUGCCAGCAGCCGCGGUAAUACGUAGGUGGCAAGCGUUGUCCGGAAUUAUUGGGCGUAAAGCGCGCGCAGGCGGCCUUUUAAGUCUGAAGGGAAACCCCCCGGCUCAACCGGGGAG